AGAGUUUGAUCCUGGCUCAGAACGUACGCUGGCAGCGCGCCUAACACAUGCAAGUCGAACGAGAAGGCGUAGCAAUACGCUUGUAAAGUGGCAAACGGGUGAGUAAUGCAUGGGCAACCUACCCUCUGGUGGGGGAUAACUCCCCGAAAGGGGUGCUAAUACCGACGAUACGCAUCGGUCUCGCAAGGGGCUGGUGGAAAGCCGAGCCGAGGGUUCGGCGCCGGAGGAUGGGCUCAUGUCCUAUCAGCUUGUUGGCGGGGUAAUGGCCCACCAAGGCUACGACGGGUAGCUGGUCUGAGAGGACGACCAGCCACACUGGCACUGCGACACGGGCCAGACUCCUACGAGAGGCAGCAGUGAGGAAUAUUGCGCAAUGGGCGAAAGCCUGACGCAGCGACGCCGCGUGGGGGAUGAAGGCCUUCGGGUUGUAAACCCCUUUCAGGAGGGAAGAUGGGACGGGCAACCGUUCGGACGGUACCUCCAGAAGCAGCCACGGCUAACUCUGUGCCAGCAGCCGCGGUAAGACAGAGGUGGCAAGCGUUGUUCGGAUUUACUGGGCGUAAAGGGUGCGUAGGUGGUUAGGUAAGACCUGUGGGAAAGACCUGGGCUUAACCCAGGAAGGUCGCAGGUGACUGCCUAGCUAGAGGGCGGGAGAGGAGCGCGGAAUUCCCGGUGUAGCGGUGAAAUGCGUAGAGAUCGGGAGGAAGGCCGGUGGCGAAGGCGGUGCUCUGGAACGUUCCUGACACUGAGGCACGAAAGCGUGGGGAGCAAACAGGAUUAGAUACC
This 786-nucleotide ribosomal RNA is filed under the name uncultured bacterium. RNAcentral describes it as "bacterial SSU rRNA". It matches the Rfam family "Bacterial small subunit ribosomal RNA", at positions 8 to 786 of the family's 1533-position model. The record is from RNAcentral.